AUGAACGACAAUGCUAGUCCGGGUCCAGAUGUGUUCGGGCCGGCUUUCUACAAAGCUAACCGGGACCUUGUUAAACACGAUCUCUUGCACCUUCUCUCUUGCCUCCACGAUGGCACUGCUGAUCUUAAGCGCAUUAACAAGUCUUAUAUUGUCUUAAUCCCUAAACAGAUCGGGUCCUCUGAUCCUGACCAUCUGCGCCCUAUCUCUCUGCAAAAUUGCCCGGUUAAACUGUGCUCCAAAUGCAUUACUAAUCGUGUGCAACCUCUUAUCCCGGACCUUGUCCACCCUGACCAAUCAGGUUUUAUUAAAGGUCGUAAUAUAGCCGAAAACUUCAUUCUUGCCGCUGACAUCGUUCAAGCGUGCCACAAACGCAAAUGCCCGUCUAUUGUGCUGAAAUUAGAUUUCAAGAAAGCAUUCGACUCGGUCGCCUGGGGCUUCCUAUACUCCAUCCUAAACGCCAAAGGCUUCCCAGACAAGGUUAUUCAUUGGAUUAAGAUGUUAAAUAACUCCAGCCAAUCGGCGAUCCUUCUUGACGGUACCCCCGGCGUCUGGAUUCAAUGCAAACGUGGCCUCAGACAGGGCGACUCUUUAUCCCCCUACCUCUUCAUAAUCAUCGCCGACGUCCUACAACGCAUGUUCAUCGACGCUGCGUCCCACGGCCUCUUAGAGCACCCCAUCAUCCCCAACUCCCCCUGUCCUGUACUGUAG
This 708-nucleotide ribosomal RNA is filed under the name Triticum aestivum (bread wheat). Its description in RNAcentral is "partial small subunit ribosomal RNA". Lineage: Eukaryota; Viridiplantae; Streptophyta; Magnoliopsida; Poales; Poaceae. The record is from RNAcentral.